UGGGGAAUAUUGCACAAUGGGCGCAAGCCUGAUGCAGCCAUGCCGCGUGUAUGAAGAAGGCCUUCGGGUUGUAAAGUACUUUCAGUCGGGAGGAAGGUGGUAAGGUUAAUAACCUUAUCAAUUGACGUUACCGACAGAAGAAGCACCGGCUAACUACGUGCCAGCAGCCGCGGUAAUACGUAGGUGGCAAGCGUUGUCCGGAUUUAUUGGGCGUAAAGCGAGCGCAGGCGGUUGAUUGAGUCAGAUGUGAAAUCCCCGGGCUUAACCCGGGAAUUGCAUCUGAUACUGGUCAGCUAGAGUCGUGUAGAGGGGGGUAGAAUUCCAUGUGUAGCGGUGAAAUGCGUAGAGAUGUGGAGGAAUACCGGUGGCGAAGGCGGCCCCCUGGACAAAGACUGACGCUCAGGUGCGAAAGCGUGGGGAGCAAACAGG
This 429-nucleotide ribosomal RNA is filed under the name Chloroflexota bacterium. RNAcentral's name for it is "Chloroflexi bacterium partial 16S ribosomal RNA". It matches the Rfam family "Bacterial small subunit ribosomal RNA", at positions 355 to 776 of the family's 1533-position model. Lineage: Bacteria; Bacillati; Chloroflexota. The record is from RNAcentral.